ACAUGAAAUGGAAGAAACGAGGACCUAAGAGCAGUUGGCAUGGGAACUUGAUGGACGGCUAAAUCUCUACCACUUCUUGGUCAAUGUAGGAAGAUUCUUUGGUUGAGUUUUCUUGAUGCCUCCCAUGCCUAUUUUUCUUUGGUGUUCCUUUCUUUUCCAUUUGGGU
Molecule: microRNA precursor, 166 nt
Filed under: Triticum aestivum (bread wheat)
Lineage: Eukaryota; Viridiplantae; Streptophyta; Magnoliopsida; Poales; Poaceae
Description: MIR2118 microRNA precursor family
Rfam family: MIR2118 microRNA precursor family
Source: Rfam by way of RNAcentral